This 75-nucleotide transfer RNA is filed under the name Actinomycetes bacterium. RNAcentral's name for it is "Actinobacteria bacterium tRNA-Val". It matches the Rfam family "tRNA". Rfam says of the family: Transfer RNA (tRNA) molecules are approximately 80 nucleotides in length. Their secondary structure includes four short double-helical elements and three loops (D, anti-codon, and T loops). Further hydrogen bonds mediate the characteristic L-shaped molecular structure. tRNAs have two regions of fundamental functional importance: the anti-codon, which is responsible for specific mRNA codon recognition, and the 3' end, to which the tRNAs corresponding amino acid is attached (by aminoacyl-tRNA synthetases). tRNAs cope with the degeneracy of the genetic code in two manners: having more than one tRNA (with a specific anti-codon) for a particular amino acid; and 'wobble' base-pairing, i.e. permitting non-standard base-pairing at the 3rd anti-codon position. The record is from RNAcentral. Lineage: Bacteria; Bacillati; Actinomycetota; Actinomycetes.
GGGCGGUUAGCUCAGGGGUAGAGCACUUCCUUGACGCGGAAGGGGUCGGGAGUUCGAAUCUCCCACCGCCCACCA